RNAcentral lists this ribosomal RNA (253 nucleotides) under uncultured bacterium. RNAcentral's name for it is "partial 16S ribosomal RNA". It matches the Rfam family "Bacterial small subunit ribosomal RNA", at positions 524 to 776 of the family's 1533-position model. The record is from RNAcentral.
UACGGAGGGUGCAAGCGUUAUCCGGAUUUACUGGGUUUAAAGGGUGCGUAGGUGGGUCUGUAAGUCAGUGGUGAAAUCUCCGAGCUUAACUCGGAAACUGCCAUUGAUACUAUAGGUCUUGAAUUAUCUGGAGGUAAGCGGAAUAUGUCAUGUAGCGGUGAAAUGCUUAGAGAUGACAUAGAACACCUAUUGCGAAGGCAGCUUACUACGCCUAUAUUGACGCUGAGGCACGAAAGCGUGGGGAUCAAACAGG